RNAcentral lists this transfer RNA (87 nucleotides) under Candidatus Roizmanbacteria bacterium CG_4_10_14_3_um_filter_39_13. Its description in RNAcentral is "tRNA-Ser". It matches the Rfam family "tRNA". From Rfam's summary of the family: Transfer RNA (tRNA) molecules are approximately 80 nucleotides in length. Their secondary structure includes four short double-helical elements and three loops (D, anti-codon, and T loops). Further hydrogen bonds mediate the characteristic L-shaped molecular structure. tRNAs have two regions of fundamental functional importance: the anti-codon, which is responsible for specific mRNA codon recognition, and the 3' end, to which the tRNAs corresponding amino acid is attached (by aminoacyl-tRNA synthetases). tRNAs cope with the degeneracy of the genetic code in two manners: having more than one tRNA (with a specific anti-codon) for a particular amino acid; and 'wobble' base-pairing, i.e. permitting non-standard base-pairing at the 3rd anti-codon position. RNAcentral also lists the same sequence under 2 other names. The record is from RNAcentral. Lineage: Bacteria; Candidatus Roizmaniibacteriota.
GGAGAAGUCGCAUAGUGGCCUAGUGCGUACGCUUGGAAAGCGUAUAUAGUCGCAAGACUAUCGAGGGUUCGACUCCCUCCUUCUCCG